RNAcentral lists this long non-coding RNA (564 nucleotides) under Vitis vinifera (wine grape). Its description in RNAcentral is "long non-coding RNA (VVIN_LNC003465)". Lineage: Eukaryota; Viridiplantae; Streptophyta; Magnoliopsida; Vitales; Vitaceae. The record is from RNAcentral.
ACCCUCGAACCGAGGUGGGUUGAUGACAGCCAUGCUUCUGCUCUGGGUUGUCAUGGGCCUGUUUGCUGGAUACUCUGCAACCCGUCUGUACAAGAUGUUCAAAGGAACAGACUGGAAGAAAAUUGCUCUCAAGACAGCUUUCAUGUUCCCUGGCACUGUUUUUGCCAUUUUCUUUGUCUUGAAUGCUCUAAUUUGGGGUGAAAAAUCCUCAGGGGCAGUGCCAUUUGGAACCAUGUUUGCGCUGGUGUUGUUAUGGUUUGGCAUCUCGGUCCCACUUGUUUUUGUGGGUGGUUAUGUUGGGUUUAAGAAGCCAGCAAUUGAGGAUCCCGUAAAAACUAAUAAGAUUCCAAGGCAGAUCCCAGAGCAGGCCUGGUAUAUGAAUCCUGUCUUCUCCAUCCUAAUUGGAGGCAUAUUACCCUUUGGAGCUGUCUUUAUCGAGCUCUUUUUCAUCCUCACAUCAAUCUGGUUGCAUCAAUUCUAUUACAUAUUUGGCUUCCUCUUCAUUGUCUUCCUUAUCCUACUUGUAACUUGUGCGGAGAUUACAAUCGUGCUGUGCUACUUCCA